UGAGGAAUCUUGCGCAAUGGGGGCAACCCUGACGCAGCAACGCCGCGUGAGUGAGGAAGGUCUUCGGAUCGUAAAGCUCUGUCAGUUGAGAAGAAAUGGCUGGAGGUUAAUACCCUUCGGUCUUGACGGUACCAACAGAGGAAGCACCGGCUAACUCCGUGCCAGCAGCCGCGGUAAUACGGGGGGUGCAAGCGUGGUUCGGAAUUAUUGGGCGUAAUGAGCGUGUAGGAGGCCUGAUAUGUCCGAUGUGAAAGCCCUGGGCUUAACCCAGGAAGUGCAUUUGAAACUGUCAGGCUCGAGUAGGGGAGAGGGAAGUGGAAUUCCUGGUGUAGAGGUGAAAGUCGUAGAUAUCAGGAGGAACACCGGUGGCGAAGGCGACUUCCUGGCCCUAUACUGACGCUGAGACGCGAGAGCGUGGGUAGCAAACA
Molecule: ribosomal RNA, 428 nt
Filed under: uncultured prokaryote
Description: bacterial SSU rRNA
Rfam family: Bacterial small subunit ribosomal RNA
Source: RNAcentral